UCCGGUUUGUCACCGGCAGUCUGCCUAGAGUCCCCAACUGAAUGAUGGCAACUAGGCACAAGGGUUGCGCUCGUUACGGGACUUAACCCAACAUCUCACGACACGAGCUGACGACAGCCAUGCAGCACCUGUCUCCAGGCUCCCGAAGGCACUUUCGUGUCUCCACAAAAUUCCCAGGAUGUCAAGGGCAGGUAAGGUUCUUCGCGUUGCAUCGAAUUAAACCACAUGCUCCACCGCUUGUGCGGGCCCCCGUCAAUUUCUUUGAGUUUUAGCCUUGCGGCCGUACUCCCCAGGCGGAGCGCUUAAUGCGUUGGCUGCGCCACUGGCAGGGAACACCCCGCCAACAGCUAGCGCUCAUCGUUUACAGCGUGGACUAC
RNAcentral lists this unclassified non-coding RNA (377 nucleotides) under uncultured Gammaproteobacteria bacterium. RNAcentral describes it as "contains 16S-23S intergenic spacer region". Lineage: Bacteria; Pseudomonadati; Pseudomonadota; Gammaproteobacteria. The record is from RNAcentral.